GAUGAACGCUGGCGGCGUGCCUAAUACAUGCAAGUCGAGCGAACGGACGAGAAGCUUGCUUCUCUGAUGUUAGCGGCGGACGGGUGAGUAACACGUGGAUAACCUACCUAUAAGACUGGGAUAACUUCGGGAAACCGGAGCUAAUACCGGAUGAUAUUUUGAACCGCAUGGUUCAAAAGUGAAAGACGGUCUUGCUGUCACUUGUAGAUGGAUCCGCGCUGCACUAGCUAGUUGGUAAGGUAACGGCUUACCAAGGCAACGAUGCAUAGCCGACCUGAGAGGGUGAUCGGCCACACUGGAACUGAGACACGGUCCAGACUCCUACGGGAGGCAGCAGUAGGGAAUCUUCCGCAAUGGGCGAAAGCCUGACGGAGCAACGCCGCGUGAGUGAUGAAGGUCUUCGGAUCGUAAAACUCUGUUAUUAGGGAAGAACAUAUGUGUAAGUAACUGUGCACAUCUUGACGGUACCUAAUCAGAAAGCCACGGCUAACUACGUG
RNAcentral lists this ribosomal RNA (497 nucleotides) under uncultured bacterium. RNAcentral's name for it is "partial 16S ribosomal RNA". It matches the Rfam family "Bacterial small subunit ribosomal RNA", at positions 28 to 507 of the family's 1533-position model. The record is from RNAcentral.